RNAcentral lists this ribosomal RNA (484 nucleotides) under uncultured bacterium. RNAcentral's name for it is "partial 16S ribosomal RNA". It matches the Rfam family "Bacterial small subunit ribosomal RNA", at positions 29 to 507 of the family's 1533-position model. The record is from RNAcentral.
AGUGAACGCUGGCGGCAGGCCUAACACAUGCAAGUCGAGCGGCAGCGCGGGGGCAACCCUGGCGGCGAGCGGCGGACGGGCGAGGAAUUCGUCGGAAUCUGCCUUUUUGUGGGGGAUAACGUAGGGAAACUUACGCUAAUACCGCAUACGUCCUACGGGAGAAAGUGGGGGACCGCAAGGCCUCACGCAGAAAGAUGAGCCGACGACCGAUUAGCUAGUUGGUGGGGUAAAGGCCCACCAAGGCGACGAUCGGUAGCUGGUCUGAGAGGAUGAUCAGCCACACUGGGACUGAGACACGGCCCAGACUCCUACGGGAGGCAGCAGUGGGGAAUAUUGGACAAUGGGCGCAAGCCUGAUCCAGCCAUGCCGCGUGUGUGAAGAAGGCCUUCGGGUUGUAAAGCACUUUUGUCCGGAAAGAAAUCCCUGGAGCUAAUACCUUCGGGGGAUGACGGUACCGGAAGAAUAAGCACCGGCUAACUUCGUG